Rhea pennata is the source of this 76-nucleotide non-coding RNA. NCBI's taxonomy places the organism in Eukaryota, Metazoa, Chordata, Aves, Rheiformes, Rheidae. The record is from the annotation of a RefSeq genome assembly.
GGUUUCAUUUAGCUCAGUUGGUUAGAGUGUGGUGCUAAGAACAGCAAGGUCAUGGGUUCAAUUCCCAUAUGGGCCA